Acanthochromis polyacanthus (spiny chromis) is the source of this 374-nucleotide long non-coding RNA. RefSeq lists it as uncharacterized. The transcript is spliced from 4 exons. The record is from RefSeq and is a predicted model, not a curated record. NCBI's taxonomy places the organism in Eukaryota, Metazoa, Chordata, Actinopteri, Pomacentridae.
GGUAGCGCCGUACAGGUGAGCUCACAGGUAGCGCCGUACAGGUGAGCUCACAGGUAGCGCCGUACAGGUGAGCUCACAGGUAGCGCCGUACAGGUGAGCUCACAGGUAGCGCCGCGUACAGGUGAGCUCACAGGUAGCGCCGCGUACAGGUGAGCUCACAGGUAGCGCCGCGUACAGGUGAGCUCACAGGUAGCGCCGCGUACAGGUGAGCUCACAGGUAGCACCGUACAGGUGAGCUCACAGGUAACGCCGCGUACAGGUGAGCUCACAGGUAGCACCAUGUACAGGUGAGCUCACAGGUAGCGCCGUACAGGUGAGCUCACAGGUAACGCCGCGUACAGGUGAGCUCACAGGUAGCACCGUACAGGUGAGCU